RNAcentral lists this ribosomal RNA (460 nucleotides) under uncultured bacterium. Its description in RNAcentral is "partial 16S ribosomal RNA". It matches the Rfam family "Bacterial small subunit ribosomal RNA", at positions 338 to 795 of the family's 1533-position model. The record is from RNAcentral.
CCUACGGGGAGCUGCAGUGAGGAAUAUUGGUCAAUGGCCGUAAGGCUGAACCAGCCAAGUCGCGUGAAGGAAGAAGGAUCUAUGGUUUGUAAACUUCUUUUAUAGGGGAAUAAAGGUAUCCACGUGUGGCUAUUUGCAUGUACCCUAUGAAUAAGCAUCGGCUAACUCCGUGCCAGCAGCCGCGGUAAUACGGAGGAUGCGAGCGUUAUCCGGAUUUAUUGGGUUUAAAGGGUGCGUAGGUUGUUUUUUAAGUCAGCGGUGAAAGUUUGUGGCUCAACCAUAAAAUUGCCGUUGAAACUGGAAGACUUGAGUGUGUUUGAGGUAGGCGGAAUGCGUGGUGUAGCGGUGAAAUGCAUAGAUAUCACGCAGAACUCCGAUUGCGAAGGCAGCUUACUAAGCCAUAACUGACACUGAAGCACGAAAGCGUGGGGAUCAAACAGGAUUAGAUACCCCAGUAGUC